CCUGCCAGAGGCGACCGCUUUUGGAGUUCGAUUAAGCCAUGCGAGUAGAAUGAAUUAGAUUCAUUGCAAACUGCUCAGUAACACGUGGAUAACCUGCCCUAUGCUCUGGGAUAACCUCGGGAAACUGAGAAUAAUACCGGAUAGAUCACAACGCCUGGAACGGUGUGUGGUUCAAAGGUUACGGCAUAGGACGGGUCUGCGGCGUAUCAGGUCGUAGGGGGUGUAAUGAACCCCCUAGCCAUCGACGCGUACGGGUGUUGGGAGACAUAGCCCAGAGACGGAUUCUGAGACACGAAUCCGGACCCUACGGGGUGCAGCAGGCGCGAAAACUUCACACUGCAGGAAACUGUGAUGAGGGAACUCCAAGUGGAUGCACAUAGUGUAUCUCUUUUCCUUACUAUUAAUCGGUAGGGGAAUAAGGGCUGGGAAAGACCGGUGCCAGCCGCCGCGGUAAUACCGGCAGCUCGAGUGGUCGUCGCUUUUAUUGGGCCUAAAACGUCCGUAGCCGGUUUGGUAAAUCUGUGGGUAAAUCAACUAGCUUAACUAGUUGAAUUCUGCAGAGACUGCCAGACUAGGAACCGGGAGAGGUGUGGGGUACUCAAGGGGUAGGGGUAAAAUCCUGUCAUCCUUUGGAGACCACCAGUUGCGAAGGCGCCACACUGGAACGGAUUCGACGGUCAGGGACGAAGCCUAGGGGCACGAACCGGAUUAGAUACCCGGGUAGUCCUAGGUGUAAACGCUGUGAACUUGGUGUCGGGAGUCCGCAAUGGGCCCCCGGUGCCGGAGUGAAGAUGUUAAGUUCACUGCCUGGGGAGUACGGUCGCAAGGCUGAAACUUAAAGGAAUUGGCGGGGGAGCACUGCAAC
RNAcentral lists this ribosomal RNA (865 nucleotides) under uncultured archaeon. RNAcentral describes it as "bacterial SSU rRNA". It matches the Rfam family "Archaeal small subunit ribosomal RNA", at positions 13 to 885 of the family's 1478-position model. The record is from RNAcentral.